GUACCAGAGAACUGGAUGGUGUGAAAUGAAAAAAACAGUAUUUUGUAUCAAAAUUAACUCUGGUAACUCAUGAAGUUGGUCUUUAUUUCCUCUUGUCGUCUUACUAAUGUUGAUAAAAAACAAACACAAAACAAACCCCCUUCAUCUGCUGUGGAUAGCCCCAUGUGCGUAGGGCAGAGUGAUGAGCUGAGAUUACUGCCAACUAAGCAUUUACUACUAUUUACUAGCAUUUACAAUUACUCAGCAUUA
Molecule: small nucleolar RNA, 249 nt
Organism: Peromyscus maniculatus bairdii (prairie deer mouse)
Lineage: Eukaryota; Metazoa; Chordata; Mammalia; Rodentia; Cricetidae
Source: RefSeq, a predicted model, not a curated record